This 63-nucleotide transfer RNA is filed under the name Bromius obscurus. Its description in RNAcentral is "tRNA-Pro". Lineage: Eukaryota; Metazoa; Arthropoda; Insecta; Coleoptera; Chrysomelidae. The record is from RNAcentral.
CAGAAAAUAGUUUAUUUAAAAUAUUAAUUUUGGAGAUUAAUGAUAAGACUUUCUUUUUUCUGA